CACUAUGCCCAGCCCUAAAAAUUGAUUGAACGCUACAACCUCAAUCCGCCUGGGUAUUACGAACUUCGGUUUAAAACCCAAAGGACUUGGCGGUGCUUUAAAACCUUCUAGAGGAGCCUGUCCUGUAACCGAUACUUCCCGUUAAACCUCACCCUCUCUUGCUCCUUCCCGCCUAUAUACCGCCGUCGCCAGCCUACCCUGUGAAGGGUCGAUAGUGGGCUCAACCGAUAUUAUCCCAUACGUCAGGUCGAGGUGUAGUGAAUGAGAGGGGAUAAGAUGGGCUACAUUCGCUGUAACCCAGCGAAUACGAAUCAUGCAUUGAAACAAUGCUGCUGAAGGUGGAUUUAGUAGUAAGCCGGGAACAGAGUGCCCUGCUGAAAAAGGCUCUAAAGCGCGUACAUACCGCCCGUCACCCUCCCUAAGUCUAUAGAAAUCCCCAUUACUUAAAUAACCUUCGCCUGCGAAAGGGAGGAAAGUCGUAA
This 482-nucleotide ribosomal RNA is filed under the name Sphyraena flavicauda (yellowtail barracuda). RNAcentral describes it as "partial small subunit ribosomal RNA". It matches the Rfam family "Bacterial small subunit ribosomal RNA", at positions 788 to 1491 of the family's 1533-position model. The record is from RNAcentral. Lineage: Eukaryota; Metazoa; Chordata; Actinopteri; Sphyraenidae.